GGCCUUCCAUUCUCCUGUUCAAGAGGCAUCCUUCAGGGCUCCCUCUGCCUGUGUGACUGGCCAGCAGGGGGUGGUGAUAACUUUCUAUCCACUUAUCAGACACUGUGAGGCUGCAGAAUGACGUCCAUGUUUCGCUCCAGUUCAUCCCGUCCUCUCAUUGGACAGGGUAGAGAAAUGGCUGCAGAGGAGCCAGUUCAGGGGCCGGUGACCUUCGAGGAGGUGGCUGUGUAUUUCACCAG
Long non-coding RNA from Terrapene triunguis (Three-toed box turtle), 239 nucleotides. RefSeq lists it as uncharacterized. The transcript is spliced from 3 exons. The record is from RefSeq and is a predicted model, not a curated record. Lineage: Eukaryota; Metazoa; Chordata; Testudines; Emydidae.